This 484-nucleotide ribosomal RNA is filed under the name uncultured bacterium. RNAcentral describes it as "partial 16S ribosomal RNA". It matches the Rfam family "Bacterial small subunit ribosomal RNA", at positions 30 to 507 of the family's 1533-position model. The record is from RNAcentral.
AUUGAACGCUGGCGGCAGGCCUAACACAUGCAAGUCGAGCGGAUGAAGGUAGCUUGCUCCUGGAUUCAGCGGCGGACGGGUGAGUAAUGCCUAGGAAUCUGCCUGGUAGUGGGGGAUAACGUCCGGAAACGGGCGCUAAUACCGCAUACGUCCUGAGGGAGAAAGUGGGGGAUCUUCGGACCUCACGCUCUCAGAUGAGCCUAGGUCGGAUUAGCUAGUUGGUGGGGUAAAGGCCUACCAAGGCGACGAUCCGUAACUGGUCUGAGAGGAUGAUCAGUCACACUGGAACUGAGACACGGUCCAGACUCCUACGGGGGGCAGCAGUGGGGAAUAUUGGACAAAGGGCGAAAGCCUGAUCCAGCCAUGCCGCGUGUGUGAAGAAGGUCUUCGGAUUGUAAAGCACUUUAAGUUGGGAGGAAGGGCAGUAAGUUAAUACCUUGCUGUUUUGACGGUACCAACAGAAUAAGCACCGGCUAACUUCGUG